RNAcentral lists this unclassified non-coding RNA (2156 nucleotides) under Octopus sinensis (East Asian common octopus). Its description in RNAcentral is "zinc finger protein 626-like, transcript variant X2". Lineage: Eukaryota; Metazoa; Mollusca; Cephalopoda; Octopoda; Octopodidae. The record is from RNAcentral.
GUAAAAAAAAAUAUCUAUUUUGUGUUUUAUUGACUUUGCUAGGUAGUCGUUGUAGGAUCGACUACUUACGACUAACUAGCACGGAUGCGCGACUGCGCGUGUGCGCACAUCCGGGACCACCGUUCGCUAGUAGUACCUACAUCUGUUUAUUCGAUUUUUUUUUGCUCCGCUACCAUUUUAAAGUACUUUUCACUUUUAAUUUGUGCUUUUUGCUAGUUUUAAUUGGCGACCCACUUUCUUUCUCUUCCGGAGAGUCAAAGAAGUUCAUAAUAUAUGAAGGGGAACAACUUCAUACGUUGCAGAUUGCACAUGAUAAGAAAGAGGUCGAUUUAAUUGCUAAUUGUGCACCGACUGAUUGCGAACGGAGAACGAAUAUCAGACGACAUUGGCAUCGCAGCAUUGUUUCCAUCAAAAUUUAUCACCUUCAAAGCUGAAAGAAAAUAAUAACCCUAGAGAAUUACAGUAAAAUAUUUCUUCUGAACUGAAAUUGAUAGCAAUAUUUCUUAACUGUGUGGAAUGUCUACAAAAUGAUUUUAUACACAAAUUAAACUUGGAUAAUUUUAAACAGAAUCUUACAUCAGCUUUAGACAUUAGCAGAGACAGCAGUCAAUGGAAAUAAGGCUGUAAAAUUAUUUGUUUGGAAUAAACUUUUGAAUGUAAACAGGAAAUAUAUCCAUGUGAUCAUGACAAUAAAAUAAUGGACAAAUGGAUUGUGUGAGAAAGCUGGAAAAUAUAUUAUUAUUGUGAAGAGAUGUCGAAAGAGAAACCACAACCAAGAUAUCAGUGCAAUAUCUGUAAAACGUUUUUCACUUACAAACAUAGUUUAACUACCCAUAAACGAAUUCAUACAGGAGAGAAGCCGUUCCACUGUGAUAUUUGUGGUGAAUCAUUCCUUGCUCGAAGUGACUUAACUAAUCACGAACGUAUUCAUAUUAGUAAGAGGCUAUUUCCCUGUGAUAUCUGUGGUAAAUUAUCCUCUUGUGGAAGUUCCUUGAGAUCUCACAAACGUAUUCAUACGGGGGAGAAGCCAUUUCACUGUGAUAUCUGUGGUAAAUCAUUCUCUCAAAGUAGCAUUUUGACUUCUCACAAACGUAUUCAUACAGGAGAGAAGCCAUUUGAAUGCGAUAUCUGUGGUAAAUCAUUCCCUGCUGCAAGUUCUCUAACAUCUCACAAGCAUAAUCAUACAGGAGAGAAACCGUUUCACUGUGAUAUCUGCGGUAAAUCAUUCUCUUUUCGAAGUGCCCUAAUAUCUCACACGCGUAUUCAUACUGGAGAGAGGCCAUUCCACUGCGAUAUCUGUGGUAAAUCAUUCUCUGAAAGAAGGAAUUUGACUAAUCACGAACGUAUUCAUACUGGUGAGAAGCCAUAUAACUGUGAUAUCUGUGGUACAUCAUUCUCUCAAAGUAGCAAUUUAACCAUCCACAAACCUAUUCACACAGGUGAAAAACCAUAUCACUGUGAUAUCUGUGGUAAAUCAUUCUCUCACAGUAAAAUUUAACCAACCACAGACAUAUUCACACAGGUGAAAAACGAUAUCACUGUGAUAUCUCUCAAAGUAGCAAUUUAACCAACCACAAGCAUUCACACAGGUGGAAAACGAUAUCACUGUGAUAUCUGUGGUAAAUCAUUCUCUCAAAGUAGCAAUUUAACGAAACACAAACAUAUUCACACAGGUGGAAAAUGAUAUCACUGUGAUAAAUCAUUCUCUCACAGUAAAAUUUAACCAACCACAGACAUAUUCACACAGGUGAAAAACCAUAUCACUGUGAUAAAUCUUUCUCUCAAAGUAGCAAUUUAACCAACCACAAACAUUCACACAGGUGGAAAACGAUAUCACUGUGAUAUCUGUGGUAAAUCUAUCUCUGAAAGUAGCAAUUUAACCAAACAUGAAAGUAUUUAUAAAUGGGAGAAACCAAAUCACUUUGAUAUCACUGUAAAUCAUUCUCUGCAAAAGGUAAAUUAACUAUGCACACACGUAUUCACACAAGGGAAAAGCCAUAUCAUUAUGCUUUCUGGGGUAAAGCUGACUGUUCUGACCACGUCAGUCCAUAACCCGCCCGACAUCUUGUACAGGAUGGUGUAAGUAUAUAUAUAUAUAUAUAUAUAUAUAUAUAUAUAGCUAUUUCUUUACUACCCACAAGGGGCUAAACACAGAG